GCUCGGGUAGCUCAGUUGGUAGAGCGUCCGCCUGAAGAGCGGUAGGUCGCCGGUUCAACCCCGGCCCCGAGCA
Molecule: non-coding RNA, 73 nt
Organism: Candidatus Lloydbacteria bacterium
Lineage: Bacteria; Candidatus Lloydiibacteriota
Source: Rfam